UGGUAAAAUGUGAUGUACCUAGUAAUAUUAGUGAUUAAUAUGAGGCUAACCGAGUUAGUUAAAAUUCUAAGUAUAUAUGUGAUUAUGACAAUAUGUGCUUAUUUCUUGACCAAGUCACGUGCCAGCCGUCGCGGUAAUACGUGGAAGAUCAGUGUUAUUCAUCUUUAUCAGGUUUAAAGGGUACCUAGACGGUUAAUUAAGCUUUAGUAGGAACUAAUUAACUAGAGUUUAAUGUAAGAAUGAUUGAGUACGGUGAGUGUAGAGAUAAAAUUCUGUCAUACCACUUAGGAACUGGUAAAAGCGAAGGCAACUUUCUAUGUAAAAACUGACGUUAAGGGACGAAGGCUCGUAUCAAAUAACAGGAUUAGAUACCCCAGCAUUGUGGGCAGACAAUGAUGAGUGUCAUAUGCAAGAGAUAAAUAUAUAAAAAAAUAUUUUGUGUAUAAAUGAAAGUGUAAGCACUCCACCUCAAGAGUAACGUGGCAACAUGGGAACUGAAAUCAUUAGACCGUUUCUGAAACUCGUAGUGAAGUAUGUUGUUUAAUUAGAUGGUGCACAAAUAACCUUACCACAAUUUGUAUAACUAUAGUACAUAAUAAUAAUAUAGUUACAAGCGUUGCACGGCUGUCUUUAGUCUAUGUUGUGAAACUGUGGUUAGAUCCAUUAAAUAGACGUAAACCCUUACUUUAUUUAUUAUAAAGUAGUUCGCCG
This 711-nucleotide ribosomal RNA is filed under the name Diploschistes muscorum. RNAcentral's name for it is "mitochondrial SSU rRNA". It matches the Rfam family "Bacterial small subunit ribosomal RNA", at positions 366 to 1137 of the family's 1533-position model. Lineage: Eukaryota; Fungi; Ascomycota; Lecanoromycetes; Ostropales; Graphidaceae. The record is from RNAcentral.